GGGGUUGUGGCUCAGCAGUAGAGCACUCUCCUAGUAUGUGAGAGGCACUGGGUUUGAUCCUCAGCACCA
Molecule: non-coding RNA, 69 nt
Organism: Ictidomys tridecemlineatus (thirteen-lined ground squirrel)
Lineage: Eukaryota; Metazoa; Chordata; Mammalia; Rodentia; Sciuridae
Source: Rfam